GACGAACGCUGGCGGCGUGCUUAACACAUGCAAGUCGAACGGAGUGGCGAACGGGUGAGUAACACGUGGGUGAUCUGCCUUGCACUUCGGGAUACGCUUGGGAAACUGGGUCUAAUACCGGAUAGUGCAAGAUGAGCUCGCGGCCUAUCAGCUUGUUGGUGUGGUAAUGGCCUACCAAGGCGUCGAAGGGUAGCCGGCCUGAGAGGGUUGACGGCCACAUUGGGACUGAGAUACGGCCCGAGCGCCUACUGUAGGCAGCAGUGGUGAAGAUGGCACAAUGGGCGGAAGCCUGAUGCAGCGACGCCGCGUGGGGGAUGAAGGCCUUCGGGUUGUAAACUCCUUUCGACAGGGACGCGGUACCUGUAUAAGAAGCACCGGCUAACUACGUGCCAGCAGCCGCGGUAAUUC
RNAcentral lists this ribosomal RNA (408 nucleotides) under uncultured bacterium. Its description in RNAcentral is "partial 16S ribosomal RNA". It matches the Rfam family "Bacterial small subunit ribosomal RNA", at positions 28 to 526 of the family's 1533-position model. The record is from RNAcentral.